RNAcentral lists this ribosomal RNA (253 nucleotides) under uncultured bacterium. RNAcentral's name for it is "partial 16S ribosomal RNA". It matches the Rfam family "Bacterial small subunit ribosomal RNA", at positions 524 to 776 of the family's 1533-position model. The record is from RNAcentral.
UACAGAGGGGGCUAGCGUUGUUCGGAAUUACUGGGCGUAAAGGGCGCGUAGGCGGCCCUCUAAGUCGAACGUGAAAUCCCCGGGCUCAACCCGGGAACUGCGUCCGAUACUGGCAGGCUUGAAUCCGGGAGAGGGAUGCGGAAUUCCAGGUGUAGCGGUGAAAUGCGUAGAUAUCUGGAGGAACACCGGUGGCGAAGGCGGCAUCCUGGACCGGUAUUGACGCUGAGGCGCGAAAGCCAGGGGAGCAAACGGG